UCCCCGUGAUUUCCCCGCGCCGAGAAACCACGCGACGAUUUUCCCUGCCACAAUCUGUCGCGCUCUUUGGAAGCACACCCACGCGGGGACAGCAGCCCGUUUCCCUUCAUUUUCCACGCGGAAGAAAUCCAGGAGUCAUGCGGCCGGGAGCGUUUCCUCUUCCCUGACCCCGUCGCUCGCUCGACGACUCACGAGGGGGCGGCCGCCGCCGCCACCGUCGCCAUCACCCCGGCGGCUCAUGGUCGACGCAUCGCUCUUGUCGUGCAUCUCCCGGUGGCCGGCAACUGGUGUGCAUCUCCUGGUUCCCGGCGAUGCAUCUCUCGCGAAUCGCGAUCGUGCCGCCACCGCCGCAAGAUCCACAUCUCGGAGCAGCACCUCCACCUCCACCUCAGCCCCGUCCUCCUAGCAGGGAAAAAUCUCGUAGAUCUUGGGGUGACCGAGCUGCCGUAUCCUCCUCCAUACUCCAGCAUCCAUGGAGAAGCGUCGUGCCACCGAGCCUAUCUCCAUACCUCACUCAGCCGAAGCGUGUGCCAGUAAUUGAUGCUGGAGAUGGCGUGCAUGUGUCUUCAGGUGCAUCAACAAAUGCCGUUGCUGAAGAUGAAGGAGCAGGGUCACCGGAAUUCUGCUCACUGCAACUUUGUCGCUGAAGACAUCUAGCUGACAAUUGACAUCUGUAGAGGUAUUUUGCCGCAGCAGAGUUUGAACCAUUUCGGUCAGCUCUUGCUAGCCCCUAUAGAGGUUUGCUAAUAGCUCUCUCUAGAACAGAAUGAUAUAUGUGUAGUAUGUCUUAGCCUUCUAUAUCUUGUGAUAGAGAGGUGAGUGAGCCCCUUGUUUUGACCAUUUUAUUUGUACAAAGAUAAGGGAGAUAUGCAUGCAACUCACCAGUUCAUGAUAUGAAAUGUGUAUCAAGCAUGACACUUCACGUUGUUCUGCUGCAUAUUCUUGGAACUCACCAUUUCUUUUGUGUUACUUAUACAGGACCAGUGGAAGCAACACAUGAUCAGAGAAAAGUGAAGUGGCCUUCAUAAUUAGCAUCUGAGAAACGUUCAAGAUCAUAGAUAGAUUUUGCUCUUCAUGUCUAUCAUUUUUUAUAUACAUGCACCUACUAUUUGUCCAUUUUUUAUGCUGCUGUUGUCUAUGUAAUAUAUUGGUGUGAGCUGGAGGGCUAAUUUAAAUAUUGGUGCAGAUUUUAGCUUUCAGUUCAUAUAACCUAGUUUAUGUCUGUGUAUUGGAUGUAAAGCAUGGAAACCAUCUGUAUCCAUGCUAGCUAUUACUGAUACUAUAACCUGGUUGACAUGAUUUUAGACUUGAAUUAUGUAUUUGUAUAGAGACUUAGUCCUGAGUUUUUCCUGGUUUGUGGUUCUAACA
This is a long non-coding RNA of Sorghum bicolor (sorghum), 1368 nucleotides long. RefSeq lists it as uncharacterized. Lineage: Eukaryota; Viridiplantae; Streptophyta; Magnoliopsida; Poales; Poaceae. The transcript is spliced from 4 exons. The record is from RefSeq and is a predicted model, not a curated record.